UAACAAGGAUUCCCCUAGUAACUGCGAGUGAAGCGGGAAAAGCUCAAAUUUAAAAUCUGGCGGUCUUUGGCCGUCCGAGUUGUAGUCUGGAGAAGUGCUUUCCGCGCUGGACCGUGUACAAGUCUCUUGGAACAGAGCGUCAUAGAGGGUGAGAAUCCCGUCUUUGACACGGACUACCAGUGCUUUGUGAUGCGCUCUCAAAGAGUCGAGUUGUUUGGGAAUGCAGCUCAAAAUGGGUGGUAAAUUCCAUCUAAAGCUAAAUAUUGGCGAGAGACCGAUAGCGAACAAGUACCGUGAGGGAAAGAUGAAAAGCACUUUGGAAAGAGAGUUAAACAGUACGUGAAAUUGCUGAAAGGGAAACGCUUGAAGUCAGUCGCGUUGAUCAGGACUCAGCCUUGCUUUUGCUUGGUGCAUUUUCUGGUUGACGGGCCAGCAUCGAUUUUGAUUGCCGGAAAAAGGCUGGAGGAAUGUGGCACCUUCGGGUGUGUUAUAGCCUUCAGUCACAUACGGCGGUUGGGAUCGAGGACCGCAGCACGCCUUUAUGGCCGGGGUUCGCCCACGUUCGUGCUUAGGAUGCUGGCGUAAUGGCUUUAAACGAC
This 599-nucleotide ribosomal RNA is filed under the name Rhodofomes cajanderi. Its description in RNAcentral is "partial 28S ribosomal RNA". It matches the Rfam family "Eukaryotic large subunit ribosomal RNA", at positions 66 to 648 of the family's 3401-position model. Lineage: Eukaryota; Fungi; Basidiomycota; Agaricomycetes; Polyporales; Fomitopsidaceae. The record is from RNAcentral.